AUUGAACGCUGGCGGCAGGCCUAACACAUGCAAGUCGAGCGGAUGAAGGGAGCUUGCUCCUGGAUUCAGCGGCGGACGGGUGAGUAAUGCCUAGGAAUCUGCCUGGUAGUGGGGGAUAACGUCCGGAAACGGGCGCUAAUACCGCCUACGUCCUGAUGGAGAAAGUGGGGGAUCUUCGGACCUCACGCUCUCAGAUGAGCCUAGGUCGGAUUAGCUAGUUGGUGGGGUAAAGGCCUACCAAGGCGACCAUCCGUAACUGGUCUGCGAGGAUGAUCAGUCACACUGGAACGGAGACACGGUCCAGACGCCUACGGGAGGCAGCAGUGUGGAAUAUUGGACAAUGGGCGAAAGCCUGAUCCAGCCAUGCCGCGUGUGUUAAGAAGGUCUUCGGAUUGUAAAGCACUUUAAGUGGGGAGGAAGGGCAGUAAGUUAAUACCUUGCUGUUUUGACGUUACCAACAGAAUAAGCACCGGCUAACUUCGUG
This 484-nucleotide ribosomal RNA is filed under the name uncultured bacterium. RNAcentral describes it as "partial 16S ribosomal RNA". It matches the Rfam family "Bacterial small subunit ribosomal RNA", at positions 30 to 507 of the family's 1533-position model. The record is from RNAcentral.